UUUGUAAUGGUGCAGUGGGUAGCACUGUCGCCUUACAUCAAGAAGGUCAUGGGUUCAAAUCUCAUUUUAGGAC
Molecule: transfer RNA, 73 nt
Filed under: Anguilla anguilla (European eel)
Lineage: Eukaryota; Metazoa; Chordata; Actinopteri; Anguilliformes; Anguillidae
Description: tRNA-OTHER
Source: RNAcentral